UCUGUGGGGUUGGGGGGGGGUGAGGAGGGCUGUCGUCCCCCCCACACACACCCUGUGUGCCCCCAACCCCCCCCCCCUCCAUGCCUUGACUUCGGCCAGCUUGGUGCCGCGGGCGCAGUCCCACACCGACAUCAUGUGCUCGUUGGAGUCGUCCACCACGCAGAGGGUCAUGCCAUGCAAACUACAACCUUGGUAAUGGCGCUGCCGGCGGAGGGGGACGUGGAGGAGGACGACGACGCAGGCGAUGAAGUAAAUGAGCUCCCCGGAGCCCAACACGUGCAGGUUGGAGCGGCUGUCCCGGCCCCGGUAACCGUAACUGGGGGGGUUA
Gallus gallus (chicken) is the source of this 328-nucleotide long non-coding RNA. RefSeq lists it as uncharacterized. The transcript is spliced from 3 exons. NCBI's taxonomy places the organism in Eukaryota, Metazoa, Chordata, Aves, Galliformes, Phasianidae. The record is from RefSeq and is a predicted model, not a curated record.